AUGGGCAUCUCUGGUGCUGUGGAUUGGUGGGAGGAGUGGCAGCUGCGGAUCCUCGUCCUUGGCAGCCUCUUCGUCCAAUACCUUCUGCUCUGCUCUGCCCCAUUCCGUAAGGUCGCUAUUCCUUCCUGGUACAGAUCCAUCAUAUGGCUCGCAUAUGUAGGCAGCGAUGCCCUGGCCAUAUACGCCCUUGCCACCCUCUUUAACCGCCACAGGAAGGAUUAUGGAUCUGCAAACAACAAUAGCGUCCUGGAGGUGAAGCCUUGGGCUCUCAAGAGGGCUAGCAUUAAUAGUCUAGUCAGCUCUUCUGACCCUACCCCGAGGAUGGCAAGCAUGGUAGGAAAGACCAUUUUGCUUGAAGAGUGCGUGCAAGAAGCAAGGGAUUUUGUCCAGGGCGAUAAAUAUCAUCGAUCCCAAGGAGAAAGCGAUGCAGUGGACCUUGAGCACAUACAUGUUCCUCAAGCCCAAGGAGAAGCCUAUGAGCUGGAAGACAACCAUCAUCAUCAAGCCCAAGGAGAAGGCAAUGCAGCUAAACUUGAUCUCAACCAUAUUCCUCAAAUCAAUGGGAAGGCCGAUGUAAAAAUGCGCGUGAUAAAAAUAAGAGAAAAGGAGAGAAAAUUCGAUCUUGAGACCCGUAAGAUAUUUGUGGACCUUGCAUUAUCGUAUCCUGAUCGGCUAGAUUUCCUAAAAUAUAUCUGGGUACUUGAUAAGAAAAAAACAUGUGUUUUCUUGCGAAGAGGGUUAUUCCACACAUUUGAUAUUCUCUACUCGAGACAAACUUUUAACGGACACAUGGAGCUUCUAAGAGAAGAUGCAGCAGCGGCACAAAUAAGAAAAGAAGCAGCAACAGUAAGAAAAGGAUCAGCAGCGGUGGCGGCAGAAGAAGAAUCAGCAGCAGAAAGAAGCAGCGAUCGCAAGAAAAGAAUCAGUACCAGAAAAGAAUCGGCAGCAGAAAGAAGCAGCAGCAGGAAGAAAAGAAUCGGUACCAGAAAAGAAUCAGCAGCAGCAGGGGCGGCAGAAGAAGUUUCAUUCUUGGACUUUUUUUCUUACAUCUUAUGGGCAGCAGCUGUGUACCUGCCAUUCACUGCAAUAGGCCUCUUGCAUAAGAGUCACAGAGAGGCCUAUGAUGUUAAUGAUGUCAAGGUUACAUAUGCCUUGUGUUAG
Molecule: ribosomal RNA, 1161 nt
Filed under: Triticum aestivum (bread wheat)
Lineage: Eukaryota; Viridiplantae; Streptophyta; Magnoliopsida; Poales; Poaceae
Description: partial small subunit ribosomal RNA
Source: RNAcentral